AUACGGAGGAUGCGAGCGUUAUCCGGAUUUAUUGGGUUUAAAGGGAGCGUAGGUGGGAUAUUAAGUCAGCUGUGAAAGUUUGGGGCUCAACCUUAAAAUUGCAGUUGAUACUGGUUUCCUUGAGUACGGUAUAGGUGGGCGGAAUUCGUUGUGUAGCGGUGAAAUGCAUAGAUAUGACGAAGAACACCGAUUGCGUAGGCAGCUGACCAGACCGCAAAUGACGCUCAUGCACGAAAGUGCGGGGAUCGAACAGGAUUAGAUACCCUGGUAGUCCGCACAGUAAACGAUGAAUACUUGUUUUCGGCGAUAUAAUGUCGGAGGCAAAGCGAAAGCGAUAAGUAUUCCACCUGGGGAGUACGCCGGCAACGGUGAAACUCAAAGGAAUUGACGGGG
RNAcentral lists this ribosomal RNA (393 nucleotides) under uncultured bacterium. RNAcentral describes it as "partial 16S ribosomal RNA". It matches the Rfam family "Bacterial small subunit ribosomal RNA", at positions 523 to 918 of the family's 1533-position model. The record is from RNAcentral.